AUGCACCUGUGUGGGCAUCCGCGAUUAAUUCACCUGACCACGGGACCUAUUCCGUGAGCCUCUUGAACCAUUCAUGGGAGCUUUUUUCCUCCGGAUUUAAUUAUUUCUGCUCCUUGCUAUUGAGCCGCCAUUGUUUUUUGGCCUUGUGACAACUGCUCUUUGCCUUCUGCGUGACUUGUUUUUACUUUGUUUUGUCUAUUAGUAGUGUUUGCGAAAACUUACUGUGCAUGGAUUUUCUCUAUACUCGCAAAUUCAACCAUAUACAGAAUUUUUUUUUUUCACGCAGAUCUCAUGUGAUUGACUAUUGAUCUUUAACGUGUGAACUUGAAAUGGAAAGCUACGAUAUACCUUCGGAGGAAAAUGAAGCAGAAAUGGAUACUGUGAAAUUUAAAGCAACUUUUUUUUCCGAGUUACGCAGUUUUCCUAUUUAAAAUCUCUAUUGUGCGUACUGAGCUGGAGUAUUUUUUUUCACAUUACUCUAUAAUCAAAGUCACUGGAUAUAUUUUAUCAGCUAAUGAGCCCAUUUUUUUAAAGGAAAUAUUUACGAAGUUACGAAAGGAAAUAUGUUCUAAACCAAACUGAAGAAAUAGUGCUUAUGCAUAUUAUAGUUUCAAUCGGUGCACUAACGUGCUUCCUAUUUUUUGAAGAUUUUCCUGGUGACAAAUUUCAAAGUGUUCUUUGUAUGAUAUUAAAUGAAUCCAAGUGUGAUAAAUAAGAAACGACUAAUUUUCUCUCAUUCGAAUGUUAAACUGGGAGACGUAAUAUCAGUUUUCAUGUUAUGUUAGAAUAGUUAACGUUGCUUUAUUUUUAUCUAACGGUUUUUCCCUCUCCGGAGCGAAAUAUCUAUCUCUAGCAGAGAACGAGCCACCAGCAUUAUCAGCUGCCGAAACGAAUGUGAACUCUGGUGACAUUUACCCUGCAGAACGGCGUGAAGCAGAUACCUUCGUAACUUUUUCCCCCUCUCUUCAACCUUUGUCUACGCACGUAACGUUUGUCAGUGUACCUGUGGCGAAGCAGUGGAAGUGAACUGCGUAAAAGUCCUCUCGCUUUAGCUUUUGUCGCCGCCAACCUUAUUUGACCUCAGCUUUGCCUGCUCGUGGUCAAAGUACGCAACCGCGCUCGUUGCAUCACGACCUUUUUACCGUCGCUUUUAACGAAGCAUGAGGUAGCAUUUUACCCCGACGUUCCACGUUUGUGUUUUGUGACUCUUUUCUGUGAUACUCUACACGACAGACAAGGAUCUACUCCACUCAUUACUGUUGUUUUUAAGAUAUGGAUUACUAUUCUUACCCGUGGUUUCAAAUGGAUUAACUCUCCUCCAUGUGUUUAGGGUGACUUUUACGGAUAACGCAGAUUUAAUAUCCUCCAACUUAUCAAAGGCUGUUUGGGCACAGUUGCUGGGCCAGUUGUCCGUAACGAAUAUGGUGUUUCUCAUACUGCCAUGACAUCCGUUACAGAUGGUCCGGUUAUUUCAUCCACUCUAGAUGGUAGCUGUGAAUCUGGGAGCCCUGAAUCUUCUGUCCCUCAGAGUGAAUAUCCAGAAAGUCCCCAAUGUUCUCCUCAAAAUCAAAACCAAACCUGUGAUAUUAAAGCUGAUAGUGAGCCCGGUGAUGUUGGAAUCAAAGAGGAACCCGCCAGUC
Molecule: long non-coding RNA, 1640 nt
Filed under: Stegodyphus dumicola
Lineage: Eukaryota; Metazoa; Arthropoda; Arachnida; Araneae; Eresidae
Description: uncharacterized LOC118184996, transcript variant X1
Source: RNAcentral